Molecule: ribosomal RNA, 422 nt
Filed under: uncultured cyanobacterium
Lineage: Bacteria; Bacillati; Cyanobacteriota
Description: bacterial SSU rRNA
Rfam family: Bacterial small subunit ribosomal RNA
Source: RNAcentral
GGAAUUUUCCGCAAUGGGCGAAAGCCUGACGGAGCAACGCCGCGUGAGGGAUGAAGGCCUCUGGGCUGUAAACCUCUUUUAUCAAGGAAGAAGAUCUGACGGUACUUGAUGAAUAAGCCACGGCUAAUUCCGUGCCAGCAGCCGCGGUAAUACGGGAGUGGCAAGCGUUAUCCGGAAUUAUUGGGCGUAAAGCGUCCGCAGGCGGUCUGUCAAGUCUGCUGUUAAAGCGUGGAGCUUAACUCCAUUUCGGCAGUGGAAACUGACAGACUAGAGUGUGGUAGGGGCAGAGGGAAUUCCCGGUGUAGCGGUGGAAUGCGUAGAUAUCGGGAAGAACACCAGUGGCGAAGGCGCUCUGCUGGGCCAUAACUGACGCUCAUGGACGAAAGCCAGGGGAGCGAAAGGGAUUAGAUACCCCUGUAGUC